Molecule: non-coding RNA, 213 nt
Organism: Vicia faba (fava bean)
Lineage: Eukaryota; Viridiplantae; Streptophyta; Magnoliopsida; Fabales; Fabaceae
Source: the annotation of a GenBank genome assembly
AUGUGCUACUACUAUCCCGAUGCAGCGAAGCUAGGUGGUGCUAUUAUGGCGGGGGAAGGGUCUACUUCUGCUCCAUCGGAAUGCUUUUGGUGGCAGGUCUUUCUAUUACCGAUAUGGACCUCAGGGUCUCAUUCUGUACCUAGAUCACCUACUCACUACUGCGCUGCGACAAGGACUGGAACUGCCUCCGCGUUUGGACCUUUGAUUAAUUAA